GAAAUGCGAUAAGUAAUGUGAAUUGCAGAAUUCAGUGAAUCAUCGAGUCUUUGAACGCACCUUGCGCGCCUUGGUAUUCCUUGGAGCAUGCCUGUUUGAGUAUCAUGAAAUCUUCAAAGUAAAUCUUUUGUUAACUCAAUUGGUUUCUACUUUGGUAUUGGAGGUCUUUGCAGCUUCACACCUGCUCCUCUUUGUUCAUUAGCUGGAUCUCAGUGUUAUGCUUGGUUCCACUCGGCGUGAUAAGUUAUCUAUCGCUGAGGACACUGUAAAAGGUGGCCAAGGUAAAUGCAGAUGAACCGCUUCUAAUAGUCCAUUGACUUGGACAAUACUUUUAUGAUCUGAUCUCAAAUCAGGUAGGACUACCCGCUGAACUUAAGC
This 378-nucleotide unclassified non-coding RNA is filed under the name plant metagenome. RNAcentral describes it as "partial contains 5.8S ribosomal RNA, internal transcribed spacer 2, and large subunit ribosomal RNA". The stretch from base 1 to 105 matches the Rfam family "5.8S ribosomal RNA", at positions 50 to 154 of the family's 154-position model. The record is from RNAcentral.